UGUCUUUCCAGAUGCCCAAUCUGUACCACUCAAAAAGUAAUGAAGUGACAGUGUACCAUGACAAAAAAUCUAAGAUGAGCCUGAAGAGGAGAUUUGGGAAGAUGCUGUUUAUAAGUCUUUGCUUUGCCAGAUCACCUGUGGUCGAGAUGUCUGCUAACAAGAUGCCUUGUUGGUCUGGACGAGUUUGAAGUCUCUCACAGACAGUCCAGAAGGUCUGGAGUCCAUCUUAGCUUUUAUUGAUGCUUUCAUUGGGUUUUAAGUACAGUAUGAGCCAGAAUGGAAGGGUGUUGGUGGCCAUAAGAAGACUGUGAGCUAAACCUACAACAAAAUUCAUAUUUGCAGUUUUCCUAUAAA
Non-coding RNA from Misgurnus anguillicaudatus (oriental weatherfish), 354 nucleotides. The record is from RefSeq and is a predicted model, not a curated record. Lineage: Eukaryota; Metazoa; Chordata; Actinopteri; Cypriniformes; Cobitidae.